Molecule: ribosomal RNA, 253 nt
Filed under: uncultured bacterium
Lineage: Bacteria
Description: partial 16S ribosomal RNA
Rfam family: Bacterial small subunit ribosomal RNA
Source: RNAcentral
UACGUAGGGGGCAAGCGUUGUCCGGAAUUACUGGGUGUAAAGGGUGCGUAGGCGGGUAUUUAAGUCAGAUGUGAAAUCCACAGGCUCAACUUGUGGACUGCAUUUGAAACUGAGUAUCUUGAGUGUGGGAGAGGUAAGUGGAAUUCCUAGUGUAGCGGUGAAAUGCGUAGAUAUUAGGAGGAACACCAGUGGCGAAGGCGACUUACUGGACCAUAACUGACGCUGAGGCACGAAAGCGUGGGGAGCAAACAGG